This 98-nucleotide transfer RNA is filed under the name uncultured Actinomycetes bacterium. Its description in RNAcentral is "uncultured actinobacterium tRNA-Pro". Lineage: Bacteria; Bacillati; Actinomycetota; Actinomycetes. The record is from RNAcentral.
CGUGGGAUCGAUAAAUGGACUCGCAGUUGGAUUAUUCGGGAUGAAUCCACUGAUUAUGACUCUUGGUAUGAACGCCGUUCUAAUCGGUGUUUUCACGG